This is a long non-coding RNA of Bradysia coprophila, 264 nucleotides long. Lineage: Eukaryota; Metazoa; Arthropoda; Insecta; Diptera; Sciaridae. The record is from RefSeq and is a predicted model, not a curated record.
UUCUUUUCUAUCACAACAAUCACAGUGAUCACAACGACACCAGACGGAACACAUGUUGUUGCUGUCAUGUACUUUCGCAUCCUCGUUUGAGGGGCGAAAGUACUUUCGCUCCUCUGUUGGGAGGCGAAAGUAUUUUCGCACCUCUUGUGAUGUCGUGGCUAACUGAGAGUUGAAUUUUUAUACUUUCGCAUCUCAUUCGGGAAGCGAAAAUUACAACUUUCGUAGUUGGUGUAAUGAAAAUUAAGUCUCAUAGGACUAGUUAAU